AUUGAACGCUGGCGGCAUGCUUUACACAUGCAAGUCGAACGGCAGCGGGGGCUUCGGCCUGCCGGCGAGUGGCGAACGGGUGAGUAAUGCAUCGGAACGUACCCAGUCAUGGGGGAUAACUACGCGAAAGCGUAGCUAAUACCGCAUACGCCCUGAGGGGGAAAGCGGGGGAUCGCAAGACCUCGCGUGAUUGGAGCGGCCGAUGUCGGAUUAGCUAGUUGGUGGGGUAAAGGCCUACCAAGGCGACGAUCCGUAGCGGGUCUGAGAGGAUGAUCCGCCACACUGGGACUGAGACACGGCCCAGACUCCUACGGGAGGCAGCAGUGGGGGAAUUUUGGACAAUGGGGGGCAACCCUGAUCCAGCCAUGCCGCGUGAGUGAAGAAGGCCUUCGGGUUGUAAAGCUCUUUACCCGGGUACUGAUAAUGACAGUACCGGGAGAAUAAG
RNAcentral lists this ribosomal RNA (445 nucleotides) under uncultured bacterium. RNAcentral's name for it is "bacterial SSU rRNA". It matches the Rfam family "Bacterial small subunit ribosomal RNA", at positions 29 to 490 of the family's 1533-position model. The record is from RNAcentral.